UGGGGAAUAUUGCACAAUGGGCGAAAGCCUGAUGCAGCCAUGCCGCGUGUAUGAAGAAGGCCUUCGGGUUGUAAAGUACUUUCAGUUGUGAGGAAGGGGGUGUCGUUAAUAGCGGCAUCUCUUGACGUUAGCAACAGAAGAAGCACCGGCUAACUCCGUGCCAGCAGCCGCGGUAAUACGGAGGGUGCGAGCGUUAAUCGGAAUUACUGGGCGUAAAGCGCAUGCAGGUGGUUCAUUAAGUCAGAUGUGAAAAGCCCGGGGCUCAACCUCGGAACUGCAUUUGAAACUGGUGAACUAGAGUACUGUAGAGGGGGUAGAAUUUCAGGUGUAGCGGUGAAAUGCGUAGAGAU
RNAcentral lists this ribosomal RNA (350 nucleotides) under uncultured bacterium. RNAcentral describes it as "bacterial SSU rRNA". It matches the Rfam family "Bacterial small subunit ribosomal RNA", at positions 355 to 697 of the family's 1533-position model. The record is from RNAcentral.